AUGGACAGCGAGCUGGCUGAUUUUGCUGCUUCUUACCUCGGCGAGGAGGAAGCCGUCAAGAAGCCUGACAGCAGUCCAUCCGCAGGAGAGCGGAAGGUAUUGAUUUUACGCAGGUCCCCAAUCACACAGGAUCCCCCAUUCCUGAAUCCCCCUGCUUAUGGCUACCCGGACGGCGGUGGCGACCAGCCAAGCUUCGUCCUCAUCGAGCCACACGCCUACUUUGCCGACCGCCUCAACGCCACCACCGCCGACUGCGGCUUGGAGGGUCUCGGUCUCCGGGGGAAAAUCAAGGUCACCUUCUGCACCGCCCAACCGCCGCAAGUCUCCUACCUCUGCGUCCAUGCCACCGACUACGACCACACCGCCUUCGCCUACCCGCCUCACAUAGUCGCCACAGAGACUGAGGGCGGCCUCGUCCUUCUAUCCGUCGUAGUCGGUGGCCGCCCAUCCUAUGCCUCGCUUCGCCUCAAACAACACUACUUUGUCUACAACGCAAGCGUCCCUGAGCUCAAGCACAUCAAGCAGCCGGGCGACGACCACCCAGUCAACGAUCACUCCUUUGCCAUUGUGAGCAAUGGCAAACCUGACUGCACCUUCGUCCUUGCCGCACAAGCUGAUAGGUUUGGGCAUGGCAAUCCUUCUCACCUCUGCCUGUAUCAAUCUGGUACCAACUCCUGGAGCAAAGUGCUGGUGAAUGUCGAUUCAGUCCCCUACCAGCUCACCACAUACAAGGCAAUCACCAUAAAAGGAGAUUUAGGCCUAGUAGCCUGGGUCGAUCUCUCACAUAUGAUCACCUUCUGCAACGUGCUGGACAAAAGCCCCAUCGCUGCCUAA
This 834-nucleotide ribosomal RNA is filed under the name Triticum aestivum (bread wheat). RNAcentral's name for it is "partial small subunit ribosomal RNA". The record is from RNAcentral. Lineage: Eukaryota; Viridiplantae; Streptophyta; Magnoliopsida; Poales; Poaceae.